GGGGUGGUAGCUCAGAUGGUAAGAGCCACGGACUCAUAAUCCGGGAGUCGCGGGUUCAAGUCCCGCCCACCCCAC
This 75-nucleotide transfer RNA is filed under the name Mycobacterium phage Hilltopfarm. Its description in RNAcentral is "tRNA-Met". It matches the Rfam family "tRNA". From Rfam's summary of the family: Transfer RNA (tRNA) molecules are approximately 80 nucleotides in length. Their secondary structure includes four short double-helical elements and three loops (D, anti-codon, and T loops). The record is from RNAcentral. Lineage: Duplodnaviria; Heunggongvirae; Uroviricota; Caudoviricetes.